AAUUUUUCAAAUACGGGGAAAAGAAACCAACAGGGAUUGCCUCAGUAACGGCGAGUGAAGCGGCAAAAGCUCAAAUUUGAAAUCUAGCACCUUCGGUGUUUGAGUUGUAAUUUGAAGAUGGUAACCUUGGGUUUGGCUCUUGUCUAUGUUCCUUGGAACAGGACGUCAUAGAGGGUGAGAAUCCCGUCUGAUGAGAUGCCCAUUCCUAUGUAAGGUGCUAUCGAAGAGUCGAGUUGUUUGGGAAUGCAGCUCUAAGUGGGUGGUAAAUUCCAUCUAAAGCUAAAUAUUGGCGAGAGACCGAUAGCGAACAAGUACAGUGAUGGAAAGAUGAAAAGAACUUUGAAAAGAGAGUGAAAAAGUACGUGAAAUUGUUGAAAGGGAAGGGCAUUAGAUCAGACUUGGUGUUUUACGAUUAUCUUCUCUUCUUGAGUUGUGCACUCGUAUUUCACUGGGCCAGCAUCGAUUCGGAUGGCAAGAUAAUGGCAGUUGAAUGUGGCUUCACUUCGGUGGAGUGUUAUAGCUUCUGCUGAUAUUGCCUGUCUGGAUCGAGGGCUGCGUCUUUUGACUAGGAUGCUGGCGUAAUGAUCUAAUGCCGCCCGUCUUGAACCCCCGGGACCAAGA
Molecule: ribosomal RNA, 621 nt
Filed under: Hansenula anomala
Lineage: Eukaryota; Fungi; Ascomycota; Saccharomycetes; Phaffomycetales; Wickerhamomycetaceae
Description: Wickerhamomyces anomalus partial large subunit ribosomal RNA
Rfam family: Eukaryotic large subunit ribosomal RNA
Source: RNAcentral